GAUGAACGCUGGCGGCGUGCCUAAUACAUGCAAGUCGAGCGAAUGGAUUGAGAGCUUGCUCUUAUGAAGUUAGCGGCGGACGGGUGAGUAACACGUGGGUAACCUGCCCAUAAGACUGGGAUAACUCCGGGAAACCGGGGCUAAUACCGGAUAACAUUUUGAACCGCAUGGUUCGAAAUUGAAAGGCGGCUUAGGCUGUCACUUAUGGAUGGACCCGCGUCGCAUUAGCUAGUUGGUGAGGUAACGGCUCACCAAGGCAACGAUGCGUAGCCGACCUGAGAGGGUGAUCGGCCACACUGGGACUGAGACACGGCCCAGACUCCUACGGGAGGCAGCAGUAGGGAAUCUUCCGCAAUGGACGAAAGUCUAACGGAGCAACGCCGCGUGAGUGAUGAAGGCUUUCGGGUCGUAAAACUCUGUUGUUAGGGAAGAACAAGUGCUAGUUGAAUAAGCUGACACCUUGACGGUACCUAACCAGAAAGCCACGGCUAACUACGUGCCAGCAGCCGCAGUAA
This 515-nucleotide ribosomal RNA is filed under the name uncultured bacterium. RNAcentral's name for it is "partial 16S ribosomal RNA". It matches the Rfam family "Bacterial small subunit ribosomal RNA", at positions 28 to 523 of the family's 1533-position model. The record is from RNAcentral.